RNAcentral lists this ribosomal RNA (252 nucleotides) under uncultured Bacteroidales bacterium. Its description in RNAcentral is "partial 16S ribosomal RNA". It matches the Rfam family "Bacterial small subunit ribosomal RNA", at positions 524 to 776 of the family's 1533-position model. Lineage: Bacteria; Pseudomonadati; Bacteroidota; Bacteroidia; Bacteroidales. The record is from RNAcentral.
UACGGAGGAUGCGAGCGUUAUCCGGAUUUAUUGGGUUUAAAGGGUGCGCAGGCGGUCUGUUAAGUCAGCGGUCAAAGCCCGGGGCUCAACCCCGGCCCGCCGUUGAAACUGACGCCCUUGAGUGAGUGAGAAGUAAGCGGAAUGCGUGGUGUAGCGGUGAAAUGCAUAGAUAUCACGCAGAACGCCGAUUGCGAAGGCAGCUUACCGGCGCUCAACUGACGCUCAGGCACGAAAGCGUGGGUAUCGAACAGG